RNAcentral lists this ribosomal RNA (638 nucleotides) under uncultured bacterium. RNAcentral describes it as "bacterial SSU rRNA". It matches the Rfam family "Bacterial small subunit ribosomal RNA", at positions 87 to 723 of the family's 1533-position model. The record is from RNAcentral.
GGCGUCGACCGGCGCACGGGUGAGUAACGCGUAUCCAACCUGCCCACCACUUGGGGAUAACCUUGCGAAAGUAAGACUAAUACCCAAUGACGUCUCUAGAAGACAUCUGAAAGGGAUUAAAGAUUUAUCGGUGAUGGAUGGGGAUGCGUCUGAUUAGCUUGUUGGCGGGGUAACGGCCCACCAAGGCGACGAUCAGUAGGGGUUCUGAGAGGAAGGUCCCCCACAUUGGAACUGAGACACGGUCCAAACUCCUACGGGAGGCAGCAGUGAGGAAUAUUGGUCAAUGGACGAGAGUCUGAACCAGCCAAGUAGCGUGCAGGAAGACGGCCCUAUGGGUUGUAAACUGCUUUUAUAAGGGAAUAAAGUGAGUCUCGUGAGACUUUUUGCAUGUACCUUAUGAAUAAGGACCGGCUAAUUCCGUGCCAGCAGCCGCGGUAAUACGGAAGGUCCGGGCGUUAUCCGGAUUUAUUGGGUUUAAAGGGAGCGUAGGCCGGAGAUUAAGCGUGUUGUGAAAUGUAGACGCUCAACGUCUGCACUGCAGCGCGAACUGGUUUCCUUGAGUACGCACAAAGUGGGCGGAAUUCGUGGUGUAGCGGUGAAAUGCUUAGAUAUCACGAAGAACUCCGAUUGCGAAGGCA